This 29-nucleotide non-coding RNA is filed under the name Mus musculus (house mouse). The record is from RNAcentral. Lineage: Eukaryota; Metazoa; Chordata; Mammalia; Rodentia; Muridae.
UACACAGAAUGAUGCUGCUAAUGAGGGUC